Molecule: long non-coding RNA, 757 nt
Filed under: Mytilus galloprovincialis (Mediterranean mussel)
Lineage: Eukaryota; Metazoa; Mollusca; Bivalvia; Mytilida; Mytilidae
Source: RNAcentral
CGCUGGACGUAAAUGAUGAAGAUAAAUUAAAAAAAAAAAAACGCUUCGGACGCAUGGAAUUUAUAUCUUUUUUUCACCAACUAUUGCAGAUCUUUUUGUUGCUUAUGAUUAUCGUGGUCUGACAUCUGUCACAAACUAUUUUUUCAAAGUGUGUAAAACUAUAAAAAUAAUUGUUGACACAAUGCAGGAGGAGGAUGUAAGGUUAAAUUUACCUGCAAUAGGAGACGAAAUGAUACGUUAACUCAUGCAAGAUCGGGAGUUUAGCGAAAAACACCGAUGCUUAUGAAUGUAUGAAAUAUGCAUCGUAAUUUCAUUUGAACAGUUGCGUUUACUACCAAUUUGAAAGUUAAACAUUUCAUCCGGAAUGAUCUACUAGAAUAUUGUCAAUAAUAAAUGUAAUAUUCAGAAGACGCAAAGUUUCAUUUAUUCCUUUUAUUUUUUAUUUUACCUUUUUUCAAUUUUCAUUUUUUUUUUUACCUUUCAACCAAAUAAUGUUAUUUUCUAUUCUUAACUUGAGUGCCUUUUUUCUUUAUUCUUUUUUUUAAGGGGUGGGGUGGGGGGAGGGGAUGUUGUCUUUAUUUUUUUUUAUUUGUAAACCAUCUCAUAUAUCUUGAAUUAUUUCAAAUAACUAUCUGAUAUUCAAGCGGAAUAGGAUGCAUAAUUCUACUAGCAUAAGAGGAUCUACUAGAAGAAGCUGUUUAUUUGGUCGUUUAUGGUUGUCUUAAAAUUAAAGUCAGUGAGAUUUAUAGACUACAGC